GUGCAUGGCGCAGCUACCAUGCAGUCGAGCGGUAACAGAGAGUAGCUUGCUACUCUGCUGACGAGCGGCGGACGGGUGAGUAAUGCUUGGGAAUGUACCUUAUGGUGGGGGACAACAGUUGGAAACGACUGCUAAUACCGCAUAAUGUCUUCGGACCAAAGCGGGGGACCUUCGGGCCUCGCGCCAUAAGAUCAGCCCAAGUGGGAUUAGCUAGUUGGUGAGGUAAUGGCUCACCAAGGCGACGAUCCCUAGCUGGUUUGAGAGGAUGAUCAGCCACACUGGGACUGAGACACGGCCCAGACUCCUACGGGAGGCAGCAGUGGGGAAUAUUGCACAAUGGGCGCAAGCCUGAUGCAGCCAUGCCGCGUGUGUGAAGAAGGCCUUCGGGUUGUAAAGCACUUUCAGUAAGGAGGAAAGGUUGGAUGUUAAUAGCAUUCAGCUGUGACGUUACUUACAGAAGAAGCACCGGCUAACUCCGUGCCAGCAGCCGCGGUAAUACGGAGGGUGCGAGCGUUAAUCGGAAUUACUGGGCGUAAAGCGUACGCAGGCGGUUUGUUAAGCGAGAUGUGAAAGCCCCGGGCUCAACCUGGGAACUGCAUUUCGAACUGGCAAACUAGAGUGUGAUAGAGGGUGGUAGAAUUUCAGGUGUAGCGGUGAAAUGCGUAGAGAUCUGAAGGAAUACCGAUGGCGAAGGCAGCCACCUGGGUCAACACUGACGCUCAUGUACGAAAGCGUGGGGAGCAAACAGGCUAAAACC
Molecule: ribosomal RNA, 757 nt
Filed under: Pseudoalteromonas sp.
Lineage: Bacteria; Pseudomonadati; Pseudomonadota; Gammaproteobacteria; Alteromonadales; Pseudoalteromonadaceae
Description: bacterial SSU rRNA
Rfam family: Bacterial small subunit ribosomal RNA
Source: RNAcentral